CAUGAGAGCGCAUCCGAAUCAGUCAGGAAAUACUUGAUACCGUAAAGUGUUGUGUACUCGCGCACACAAAUUCAGGAGGAGGCUGAAGCGCGGAUGGCUUGACUGCGUUUUGCAAGCAACGGGUAGACGUCUAGAUUGAAUCAAAUUAUUCCACACUUUUUAUUUGCGUUUGUAUGAUUCCAUUGCGCCACAGACAGAAGGACCGCUUUCCCCACAGUGCGUAAGUGAACCAAUUUUUUUCGUGAUCUAUUGAGUGAGGCAAAUUAAUUUUUGACCUAACUUCUGAGUUAUUGGAUUACUUGGUGGGGGGGCAACGGGAACUGGCAAUGGGAGCGUGCCUUUGCUGUGCCUUGUACAUUUUUACAGCCUGGUGCCAAGGGACAACAAAAACAUGGGUAGCGGUAGUAGUCGAGGAAAGAAGGUUGCACCUGCGAGUGUCAACGAGAUAAAAGCAUUCAAAAGAGAUGACAACACAGCCCAUGUUUCGAAAGAGGAAAGUCACUUGUUCAAACUAUUGAAGAAACCCAAAUUGACGAACUUAAAUCAGUCACGAAACAUAACGCAACAACUAGACUGCCACAGUGAAGGACACGACUCGGAAUUUUCAGCAGAGGACGAUGACAUUGAUGUGGAACUGUACCGGGUUCUAGAGGAAUAUGACAAUCGGGAAUUGCGUUCCAAAAGGAAAACUUUUGCAAAGAUGCUUUUAAUCGGGUCAGACUCGAAUGGAUUCUGUCAUUCCAGACGGGUCUACAAUGAAAGCGAUUUCAAUUCAACCCCUCACUUGCAAAGUUCCGAGUUGUCGGAAGGGACGGGGGCACAUUGUCCAUAUAACGGUUCUGUAGGAGUCAUCAACAAGGACAAGAAUGUCUUUCACCACUUUUCCAAAGAUACACACAUUCAGUUCCCAAGCGGCACUCAGGAAAAUGACUUCUUGACAAAGGGGACUUGUGUGAAGUCAGUGCCUCGCACAGAAUCAGACUCAGUCCCUGACGAUAGCCAUGGCCCCUCUCUUUCCAUGCCCGUCAUCCUGUAUGAUGGAUCAGAAGUGGACCUGAUGGAGACCAUAGAGAGAGAGUUUAGUUGACCCCACAGGAGAGACUGGUGGCAACCUGCUCACAUUUCCUGCAUUCACUUUUGGAGAAGCACAUUGCUCAUUUUAAAGAUGUACUAUGUUGCUAAAAUUCUAAUAGUUCGCCUAAUUGCAGUUUAUGUGUCAAAACAAGCAAGUUUAGUGUAAGGAAUCAUUGUACCAUCUAAAUCGCUGUGAAAUAUAUUUUCCUUAACCACAAAUAUAGUAUUUUCAGCUGUUUGAAGCUGUACAAAACCGCAAGUAAAAGACACGAAAACUAAACUAAAGAACGGGAAGCAUAGAAUUGGCGCAAAUAGAACAGAUCUACCACUCCUUAGACUUGCUUUCGAUGACAAUGACAGAUCUAUGACACAAAUUUCUAUGUGAAUUUGGUCGGGUCGCCCCAAAAUGUACAUAUUGCCGCUUUAAAGUCUAAAAUGGCAGGAUAACUUUUGAACCAAAGAGUUGUUUUGUUGUUAUGAAUUGAUGAUAGGUGCUGUUUCAGUCAGUUGAAAAUCAAUACUGCAUUUGCAGCACCAUGCAGGGCACCCACCACCAACUAAUUUACUAAACUAUGAAUUAUCUCCAUGGUUAUGUCUGUCAAUGGCUAAUAGACAGAACCAGCCAUGUCCAUGUGGAAUUCAACAUCAAAUCGGACCACAAUAAUGCUGAAGAAACAAUUCUUUCCACGGUCUUAUAAAUAUUUGUCAUUGAGCAAUGUACUUGUGGUUUUGUAUUCUUACUGUUGCAUAAUGUUAGAGUAUAACAGCUGAAGGACGUUGUACUCAUUUCCACAAGGCUUAUGGGCAUGCUAUACUAGUAGAAGGAAAGGCAUAUUUUUUCUCUCCAUGCCUACUUUUGAAAGGUAUGUGCUAGAUUUGUGUAUUUAUGUUUCAUUUCCUGACCACAAUUCCUGCGGUCUUUCCACCCUUCCUCAGAAGGAAUAUACAGCAGCAGUGGUGAUUUUAAAAUUCAGAUAUUGACUGGCCAAACUCAAUCAACAAAGCUCAUAUGCAUCGAAACCAGUACACUACACUGGCAACACAUUGAAUGCACUUAUAACCAAUCCGAGAAAUGAGGUUUGAGCCACAUACACAAACUUUAUAACAUUUGGGUUAUGAUCAGUGUAUGGCUACUUCCGAUAUCUUUAGCUCUUUGCACAGAAGGCCACUGUAGUCGAGUAUACUGUUAUGGAGUAAACUAGCUAGUCAUCGCUCUGCAAUAUAACAACACUUUGCAUGUCUGCCUGCCUGUUACAAAAUAACCCGGUUAACAGUAUGCAACAUUGAUAACGCUAUUGCUUCGCUUCAUCUAUUGCACAGUUACAGUUUGGAUAUGAUAUAUUAUAUAUAUUAUUGUGACAGGAAAUAACAGAUUUGCAUGCAAAUCUCUUGGAUAUUGGUGGCGCUCCGCUCCACCUGCCUCACGUGAUGAAUUGGCAGCAGGAUUUUAGAGGAGCUCAAUGUGGCCCCUUUUUUGGCAACUCACUUUCCACUGAAAGAGAGAAAUCCAGUCACAGAUCUUCAGUUCUACUACCCCACUGUGGUGAGAUACAGGAAUUGCAUCUGCACACAUACCCAUUUACACGCAAUAUAUUGAAUUGGAACACUGAUAUAUGUGUUGAAUUUGUCCCUUCCACAAUGUGAUAUUUCCAAAGUGGCUUAAUUUCAGAUUGUGACAUUCACUCCCUCAAUGGUUGAGGGAAUUAAUGAGGUAGAGAUUUGCAAUGUAGUAUUUCGUAGUAAAUGGUGGUCAACAGGAUGUACUAAAUACUGUUUAUUACAUCUGUCCUCUUAUAUUUCAAUCUGCUUAUAUGUUCUAAUAAUGAAAAUAGACAUUUUACAACACAGAUUUACAUAGUCCAUAAAUCCCAAGUGGGAUGAACUCCCGAGUGGUGCAGCUGUCUAAGGCACUGCAUCUCAGUGCUAGAAGCAUCACUACAGACCUUGGUUUGAUUCCAGGCUGUAUCACAACCAGCCGUGAUUGGGAGUCCCAUAGGGCAAUGCACAAUUGGCCCAGCAUCGUUAGGGUUUGGCCGGGGUAGGCCGUCAUUGUAAAUAACAAUUUGUUCUUAACUGACUUGCCUAGUUAAAUAAAAUAAAAAACAUUUAAAUGAUUUAUUAUACCUCUCACAUGGAAAGCUUUGAAUAAAUAAAUAAACUAGCUAUGGCUAUUAUAUUGUGUUGAUGUCAAUUUAAUGUAUUAAUAUACAUGCAUGAUUUAUUAAGAAUGCACCUGUCACAGCUGUGUGGAGAGACGGACCAAGGCGCAGCGUGCUCUGAGUUCCACAUAUUUUAUUAAGUGAAACUUUGAACAAAACAAAUAAAGAAACAACAAACCGUGACUUCAGAGGUGCUACAUGCACUAACUCAAAACAAGAUCCCACAAAACACAGUAGGGAAAUAGCUGCCUAAAUAUGAUCCCCAAUCAGAGACAACGAUAAACAGCUGCCUCUGAUUGGGAACC
This 3538-nucleotide long non-coding RNA is filed under the name Salmo salar (Atlantic salmon). Its description in RNAcentral is "lncRNA (ENSSSAG00000120150.1)". Lineage: Eukaryota; Metazoa; Chordata; Actinopteri; Salmoniformes; Salmonidae. The record is from RNAcentral.